GGUAGCGUGGCCGAGUUGGUCUAAGGCGUUGGAUUUAAGUCCAUCACUGUAUUCUCAGUGCACUUGCUUCCCAAUGAAGGUGACUUCGCGCGAGUUCGAAUCUCGCCGCUACCA
This is a transfer RNA of 114 nucleotides. It matches the Rfam family "tRNA". Rfam says of the family: Transfer RNA (tRNA) molecules are approximately 80 nucleotides in length. Their secondary structure includes four short double-helical elements and three loops (D, anti-codon, and T loops). The record is from Rfam.